RNAcentral lists this transfer RNA (70 nucleotides) under Capillidium rhysosporum. RNAcentral's name for it is "tRNA-Asp". RNAcentral also lists the same sequence under 1 other name. Lineage: Eukaryota; Fungi; Entomophthoromycota; Entomophthoromycetes; Entomophthorales; Capillidiaceae. The record is from RNAcentral.
GGAUUUGUAGCUUAAAGAAAGUGUUCCCUUGUCGAGGGAAAGGUUGCCGUUUCGAAGACGGUCAAGUCCG